GUGCCAGCCGCCGCGGUAAUACGGAGGGGGCUGGCGUUGUUCGGAAUUACUGGGCGUAAAGCGCGCGUAGGCGGAUCGGAAAGUUGGGGGUGAAAUCCCGGGGCUCAACCCCGGAACUGCCUCCAAAACUAUCGGUCUAGAGUUCUGGAGAGGUGAGUGGAAUUCCGAGUGUAGAGGUGAAAUUCGUAGAUAUUCGGAGGAACACCAGUGGCGAAGGCGGCUCACUGGCCAGAUACUGAUGCUGAGGUGCGAAAGUGUGGGGAGCAAACAGGAUUAGAUACCCGUGUAGUCC
This 292-nucleotide ribosomal RNA is filed under the name uncultured bacterium. RNAcentral's name for it is "partial 16S ribosomal RNA". It matches the Rfam family "Bacterial small subunit ribosomal RNA", at positions 505 to 796 of the family's 1533-position model. The record is from RNAcentral.